GUACAGUAGUCUCACAGACGAGUAUUUUGCACCUAGAGCAGUUCCCAGAAAGUGUUUUCCCCUCUGUUAAGGGGCCUAAGUUUGAUCCGUGGGUGCAACCAUCCAAAGCAAAGCUCACGAGCACCAUGAGCUUCCUGCUCUGCAUGAAACCUGGCAGGUAUCAAGUGCUUACUGCAGUUUGUCAUGGUGAGAGGUUUGUUGCUCAAGCUUCACACUGCAAAGCUUCUGAGAUUGUUACAUGUUGAUUAAGUAAUCCUUUCACCUGCCCACCCAACUCCCCACCACGUUGUGUUUCCCUUGCCAUGAGACACAGUCUGUCAGACCACCAUUAAGGUUGUUUGCAACCUGUCCCCAAAGACUUACCUUGUAGCUGAGGGUUUCCCUUUGCCUUUGCCUUCUGCUCAUCCUUGGCAGCUGCUCCUUCCCUGUGGUGUUGACCGAGCUCAGCUCCUGCCAUGGUGCCUGGCUCUGUCUGUCCUUGUGUGAGGAGCAAGGUGCCCAACCUUGGGGACACAGCUCCUGAGCCCCAAAAUGGUCUACCCUAAAUAGGCAGGGGCCAUUCUUCACCACUCUGAUGCCUCCAAGUCUGAGGGGGUUUGCUGCAUACACAAAUACUUGGAAGGGACAACCUGGCUGCAGGUUUUAAACAGUAAAGAGUUUGGGUGCCAAAAUGGUGAAAGAGUGUCUCUUGCUGGCUCAUGUAAGAUGAAAAUUUCUGCAGCAGCACCUCUGAGCAUGCUGUCACCUCACAGCACUGUGUCACCUCACGGCAUCACCUCACGACAUUGUGUCACCUCAUGACAUCACCUCACAGCGCUGUGUCACCUCAUGGCGUCACCUCACAGCACUGUGUCACCUCAUAGCAUUGUGUCACCUCAUGGCAUCACCUCAUGGCAUUGUAUCACCGCACAGCACUGCAUCGCCUCAUGGCGUCACCUCACAGCACGGUGUUACCUCAUGACAUCACCUCACGACAUUGUGUCACCUCAUGGUGUCACCUCAAAGCACUGUGUCACCUCAUGGCAUCACCUCACAGCAUUGUUACCUCAUGGCAUCACCUCAUGGCAUUGUAUCACCUCACAGCACUGUGUAGCCUCAUGGCGUCGCCUCACGACAUUGUGUCACCUCAUGGCGUCACCUCCCAGCAUUGUUACCUCAUGGUGUCACCUCCCAGCACUGUUACCUCAUGCCGUUACCUCCCAGCACUGUGUCACCUCCCAGCACGGCUCCACAGCCCGGCACACCCCGCAGCACCCACCCCGUCCCCCUCACGCCAUGGCCUUGUCCUGGCGGCACCGCGUGGCCUGGGGCCCCGCCACCCCCUCAGGCAGGGAGCCGCGCUGAGGCUGCCGCAGGGGGGUUUGGGGACAGGCCCCGCCACCUACCUGCUCUGAGGGACAUCCUGAGACGUCGUUGAGGGUUGAUGUUAUUUCCGCGGGUCAAUCCCUGAGUGAAAUGAGUGAAAAUCGCAGGGUUUUGCCUCCGUUUUAGCCUCCGCUGGGGCCAGCCCCGCGCCCUGCCCUCAGCCCCGGCCGCCGCGCUGAGGGGAGGGGGGCGCGAGGCGUCGCCGUGAGGUGGCCGCCGGUCGCCAGGAGUCUGCCACGGGGUCUGCUGCUGAUCACAGGAAAAAAAGCAGCUGUGGAGCAGCUCUGUCUCCUCAGGAGGAGGAGGAGGAUUUUUUGUGUGGUAAAUUCUCAAAAGAAACAUUUUUUUUUUUUGCUUCGGAGGACAUGACGGGGCCACUGCAGCCCCUGCCGCUGCCCCUGCUGGGAGAGGCCCCCCGGGUGCCAGUGUCCCCGCAGGGCAUGGCCCAUCCCGCGGCCCCGGCUCAUGCCGCAGGUAAAACACUAGAUGGAGCAUGCAACAUUUUUAAUACUUUUUUUUCCUUUUUUUUUUUUUUUCUUUUAAAUAAUCCUGUAAAGGACAAAUUGAAAAAGCUAACUGAAAGCACAGCUGAAGCCACCACCAGCCGGCCUCAUGUCCUGGGGACAGCCCCUGCACGGGCAGCAGUGACUGCUCCUCUGCCCUGCUGCCCCCUGCGCCGCCCGGCCUCGCUGUGGCCAAACUCCAGUGGCCCCAGCUCCAGGUGCACAUGAAGGGGAGGUGCCAUGUCCCCUGCAGGUGCUGUUAGCACCGACCUCUUCCUCAGCUCCACCACCUGUGUGACUCGAG
This 2172-nucleotide long non-coding RNA is filed under the name Anas zonorhyncha (Eastern spot-billed duck). RNAcentral describes it as "lncRNA (ENSAZOG00000012754.1)". The record is from RNAcentral. Lineage: Eukaryota; Metazoa; Chordata; Aves; Anseriformes; Anatidae.